UGACUUGUGAAUGAUAGAGUGUUGGAGUGUUACCCUAAACACUUGAGUGAUCGAGUGAAACACUUGCCUAGUGACAAUUGUUGAAAUUCAUUAUUGCAUCUUUGCUUAGUGGAUUGAUCAUUCAUAAUGUGUAACAUUUGUUGCGGCUUGAGGGAAACCGCCUGACGGUGAAAUUAGGCGCCGGGCGGUUGUCAGAUGGGCC
RNAcentral lists this long non-coding RNA (202 nucleotides) under Vigna radiata. RNAcentral describes it as "long non-coding RNA (VRAD_LNC017125)". The record is from RNAcentral. Lineage: Eukaryota; Viridiplantae; Streptophyta; Magnoliopsida; Fabales; Fabaceae.